CCUGUGAGGGUUGCUGGAGGUAUCAGAAGUGCGAAUGCUGACAUAAGUAACGAUAAAGCGGGUGAAAAGCCCGCUCGCCGGAAGACCAAGGGUUCCUGUCCAACGUUAAUCGGGGCAGGGUGAGUCGACCCCUAAGGCGAGGCCGAAAGGCGUAGUCGAUGGGAAACGGGUUAAUAUUCCCGUACUUGGUGUUACUGCGAAGGGGGGACGGAGAAGGCUAUGUUGGCCGGGCGACGGUUGUCCCGGUUUAAGCGUGUAGGUGUGUGUUCCAGGUAAAUCCGGUUCACUUUAACACUGAGGCGUGACGACGAGGCACUACGGUGCUGAAGCAACAAAUGCCCUGCUUCCAGGAAAAGCCUCUAAGCAUCAGGUAACAUCAAAUCGUACCCCAAACCGACACAGGUGGUCAGGUAGAGAAUACCAAGGCGCUUGAGAGAACUCGGGUGAAGGAACUAGGCAAAAUGGUGCCGUAACUUCGGGAGAAGGCACGCUGACACGUAGGUGAAGUGAUUUACUCAUGGAGCUGAAGUCAGUCGAAGAUACCAGCUGGCUGCAACUGUUUAUUAAAAACACAGCACUGUGCAAACACGAAAGUGGACGUAUACGGUGUGACGCCUGCCCGGUGCCGGAAGGUUAAUUGAUGGGGUCAGCGCAAGCGAAGCUCCUGAUCGAAGCCCCGGUAAACGGCGGCCGUAACUAUAACGGUCCUAAGGUAGCGAAAUUCCUUGUCGGGUAAGUUCCGACCUGCACGAAUGGCGUAAUGAUGGCCAGGCUGUCUCCACCCGAGACUCAGUGAAAUUGAACUCGCUGUGAAGAUGCAGUGUACCCGCGGCAAGACGGAAAGACCCCGUGAACCUUUACUAUAGCUUGACACUGAACAUUGAGCCUUGAUGUGUAG
RNAcentral lists this ribosomal RNA (898 nucleotides) under Salmonella enterica subsp. enterica serovar Muenchen. Its description in RNAcentral is "partial 23S ribosomal RNA". It matches the Rfam family "Bacterial large subunit ribosomal RNA", at positions 1260 to 2141 of the family's 2925-position model. Lineage: Bacteria; Pseudomonadati; Pseudomonadota; Gammaproteobacteria; Enterobacterales; Enterobacteriaceae. The record is from RNAcentral. RNAcentral also lists the same sequence under 2 other names.